RNAcentral lists this long non-coding RNA (261 nucleotides) under Mytilus galloprovincialis (Mediterranean mussel). Lineage: Eukaryota; Metazoa; Mollusca; Bivalvia; Mytilida; Mytilidae. The record is from RNAcentral.
UUCUGUUUUUUCAGCUUUCUACAUUCUGUUGUCAAAUUUGUUUCUGUUUCUUGACACAAUUUAUUGGUCUUGUCAUAUUGUGAAUUAUGUGUGGCCAUAUACAUCCCAACUCUCAUUUCCUUGACCAGUACGCGUAGAAGAUAUUGUGGACCCAAUCUGAAAAGAAACUUCUUUCAGAAUUUUUUUUAUUUGAAGAUUAAACAUUUCCUUUUCAAGAUAACACUUAAGUCCACUAUUUUCUUUUUAUAAGUCUGUAUUAAC